UAACACGAACCGUGCGAACGUUAUUCGGAAUCACUGGGCUUAAAGGGUACGUAGGCGGUCUUGCAAGUGGGGUGUGAAAUCCCUCGGCUCAACCGAGGAACUGCACUCCAAACUGCAAGACUUGAGGGAGACAGAGGUGAGCGGAACUGAUGGUGGAGCGGUGAAAUGCGUUGAGAUCAUCAGGAACACCAGAGGCGAAGGCGGCUCACUGGGUCUCUUCUGACGCUGAGGUACGAAAGCUAGGGUAGCGAACGGGAUUAGAUACCCCGGUAGUCCUAGCUGUAAACGAUGAGCACUGGGUCGAGGAACCUUCCACAGUUUCUCGGCCGUAGCGAAAGUGUUAAGUGCUCCGCCUGGGGAGUAUGGUCGCAAGGCUG
Molecule: ribosomal RNA, 377 nt
Filed under: uncultured Planctomycetota bacterium
Lineage: Bacteria; Pseudomonadati; Planctomycetota
Description: bacterial SSU rRNA
Rfam family: Bacterial small subunit ribosomal RNA
Source: RNAcentral